AUAUAUUUAGUUGACAACAUUUUAAUGAACUUUUCAAUAAUAUUAUUUACACCGUAUUUUAUAUAUAUGAUCCGGAAGAACUUUGCUAGCUUCGGGGUAUGUUGACACAAAAAGAAUGGGGCAAGUUGACACAUGAAGUUCAAACUCGCUACGAGUCGUGGCGCACGUGUUCUACCUAUUUUAGGUUAAGUACGUAUAAUGUUAAGUUCCGCUUAGGACGUGGAGUGAACGUCUUCUAACUUAUUGUUAGAAAAUAAAUGUUUAAUCCUGCGGGGUUGCAUCAUCCCGUAGUGACCGCGUCGGCCCAGUAGGGACCGGGAGCCAAUAUCCACCAACAACAACGUAUACGUGGAAAGUAUUAAAAUGCGAAAUUAUAAAAGAAAAACUAAUCGAUCAAGGACUUCUUCUGACGUAAUGUUAAAAGCUGUCAGAAGUGUAAAAAUAGAAGGCAGGUCCAUAAGAAGUGAUGCAAAAGAUUUUGAUAUUCCUUUUCGCACCUUGACUCGUUAUUGUAAAAAGAUGGAAACAGAUGUAAAAGAUAUUGAUGUUGGAUAUAGUAAAUGCAAAAUGGUAAGUUGCUAUGAAAAUAUUACAAAUAUUUGUCGAUUUACGACGUGCCUGGAAUAGUAUCAUCUUGUCUUGAUUAUGCUGCAUCCCCGGCAAAUAUUAAAGCUGGAUUUCAAGUGACUGGGAUUUGGCCUUACAAUGAAAAUAUUUUUCUACCAAAUGAGUUCUUGCCCGCUUUUGCAACCGAUAGGUUCGCGGCUGCUGUCUUCUUCGUUUAAUUUAACCAAAUUAUAUUUUUUCCGGUCUAGACAACUUACCCCGUAUCAUGUGCCAAUGUACCCCGUUAGCGGGGCAAAUUGACUCACUUGACAGCCUCGACAAUAAAAUGGAUUGCUUCUAUGAAUUUCUUUUCAAACCUUUUAAUAUAUAUAUAUUUCUGUUGUCGAAGGAUUGCACUUUCGAGUUUUACUAAAAAUAGGCACAAAAUACGGUAAACAAAAAAA
Long non-coding RNA from Vollenhovia emeryi, 1010 nucleotides. RefSeq lists it as uncharacterized. NCBI's taxonomy places the organism in Eukaryota, Metazoa, Arthropoda, Insecta, Hymenoptera, Formicidae. The record is from RefSeq and is a predicted model, not a curated record. The transcript has 2 exons.